Molecule: non-coding RNA, 437 nt
Organism: Lactuca sativa (garden lettuce)
Lineage: Eukaryota; Viridiplantae; Streptophyta; Magnoliopsida; Asterales; Asteraceae
Source: RefSeq, a predicted model, not a curated record
UGUAAGGUUCCACAAGAUGUUGUGACAACAGGUGGGUAGAAUUCUCAUCUUUGUACAAUCAGAGGUUCAAUUAAAGACGCCAUGAAUGAAGAAAAGUCAAAACACCAUGAAUGGAGAAAAGUCAAAAGAGAUGGAAACUGUCACAACAUCUGGAUGUUUCAAUCCUUAAGAUUUACUACUUUUGAUGAGGAUGAGGAGGGCAAUUUGUAUCUUUUGAACAGACGAAGGAUUGGGAGAAUAAUUUGUGUCCAAGCUCACUACCUCCAGCUUAAUGUUCAACAGCUAGAAUCAAGCUAAAUUAAACUCACCCCACUGGAACAAGACUACAAGAGUUGCAAGGAGUUAGAGCUCAAAUGAUUAUAUCUUUAUUUGUUUUCUAGAAUUUAAUGCAGUUAAAUACAUUGAAUCGCACUCACUGCAUGUAUUAUGAAAUUAUA